Molecule: ribosomal RNA, 253 nt
Filed under: uncultured bacterium
Lineage: Bacteria
Description: partial 16S ribosomal RNA
Rfam family: Bacterial small subunit ribosomal RNA
Source: RNAcentral
AACGUAGGACGCAAGCGUUAUCCGGAGUUACUGGGCGUAAAGCGCGGGCAGGCGGUUCUGCCAGUCUGAUGUGAAAUCUCCUCGCUCAACGGGGAGCAGCCAUUGGAAACUACAGAACUGGAGUCUGACAGAGGUAGGCGGAAUUCCGGGUGUAGCGGUGAAAUGCGCAGAUAUCCGGAGGAACACCGGUGGCGAAGGCGGCUUCCUGGACCGACACUGACGCUGAGGCGCGAAAGCUAGGGGAGCAAACGGG